This is a long non-coding RNA of Strongylocentrotus purpuratus (purple sea urchin), 393 nucleotides long. RefSeq lists it as uncharacterized. Lineage: Eukaryota; Metazoa; Echinodermata; Echinoidea; Camarodonta; Strongylocentrotidae. The record is from RefSeq and is a predicted model, not a curated record. The transcript is spliced from 5 exons.
AUUUACUGUAAGGUACAUGAGAAUCUUAAGUUAUUUACUGCAAUGUAUUUACUGCAAGGUACAUGAUAAUCGCAAGGUAUUUACUGCAAGGUACAUGUAUUUACUGCAAGGUAUAUGAGGAUCGCAAGGUAUUUACUGCAAGGUACAUGAGAAUCGCAAGGUAUUUACUGCAAGGUAUUUACUGCAAGGUAUAUGAGGAUCGCAAGGUAUUUACUGCAAGGUACAUGAGAAUCUUAAGUUAUUUACUGCAAGGUAUUUACUGCAAGGUACAUGAUAAUCGCAAGGUAUUUACUGCAAGGUAUUUACUGCAAGGUACAUGAGAAUCGCAAGGUAUUUACUGCAAGGUAUUUACUGCAAGGUAUUUACUGCAAGAUAUAUGAGGAUCGCAAGGUA